UACGGAGGGUGCAAGCGUUGUCCGGAUUUAUUGGGUUUAAAGGGUGCGUAGGCGGCAUUUUAAGUCAGGGGUGAAAUCCGGCUGCUCAACAGUCGAGUUGCCUUUGAUACUGGGAUGCUUGAGUGCAGAUGAGGCAGACAGAAUUGAUGGUGUAGCGGUGAAAUGCAUAGAUACCAUCAGGAAUACCGAUUGCGAAGGCAGUCUGCUGGGGUGUAACUGACGCUGAGGCACGAAAGCGUGGGGAUCAAACAGG
Molecule: ribosomal RNA, 253 nt
Filed under: uncultured bacterium
Lineage: Bacteria
Description: partial 16S ribosomal RNA
Rfam family: Bacterial small subunit ribosomal RNA
Source: RNAcentral